Polyodon spathula (Mississippi paddlefish) is the source of this 2882-nucleotide long non-coding RNA. RefSeq lists it as uncharacterized. NCBI's taxonomy places the organism in Eukaryota, Metazoa, Chordata, Actinopteri, Acipenseriformes, Polyodontidae. The record is from RefSeq and is a predicted model, not a curated record. The transcript has 3 exons.
AUACUGUAGACUGUUAAAUUCCAAACACAUACAAGUAGGUUACUGCCACACUUAACCCAACCCAAACCUCAACCCAACAUCCAACCCCAACCGUAUCCCUAAACCGAGAAAGUCGCUAAGCUUGAGCACACACUAACACCUUUGCAGUUUUCCAUGCUAUACCCAUGUCUAUAUGAUGAAUUAAGUGUACAUUAACAAUCUAACAAUGUGUGGGUUUUUUUUUUUUUUUUUGUGCUUUACCAUAGUUCCCAGUGAUUUGUCAGAUUUCAGUGUGCUAUAUCUCCCCUUUGGUCACUGUGUGGAUAACUGUACCAUGUUAAGUUUCCUAUCUAUUUCAUAACGCAUAUACUGGUAUGUUUUGCAUAUAUUGGUAUGUUUUGCAUAUACUGGUAUGUUUUUUCAAAGUUUUGGGAUGGCAACUUCGACCUCAACAGAGUUCACACAAACUGGUUUACAUUCUCCCUUUUUUAUUUAAUUUCACCAGCAGGGAUGGUUGUCAGAAUCCCAUUCCAGGUUUUACCAUGUGCUGAAUUAGCCAUCGUGUACAGAUACCGUGCUCACGACUGUCUCGCUGAGCUCACACAGUGUAACCUGGAUUACAUUAAACUGCAGUGCAAUGGAAGUCUCAUUUCCAUCCCAGCUAUCAGGAGCAGGCAUUUUGGCUUGCAGGGUAUCAUUGUGGAAAGCAGGUUCUAAGGGCGAGGUGAGCUCAAACAAGGUACCCUGUCAAUGAAGUCUGUUUCCUUACAAUUUAACAGUGUACAGAAAUAUUACUUCUGGGAGACUAAAGUAAAAGGAAACAAAUAAUCAUUAAAUAGUAAUGUAAACGUGCACAUGGCAGUGAGAUACUGCAGACAGACGCUAUUUAACCCAGAUUCACUGGAAAAACUCAGACACUGCCAUCUGUCAGAUCUCAACGCAGGCUGUUGAGAAUGGCACACGUUUCGCACCACAUAAACGCCAAAGAAAUGAUUGCAACCAGACCACUCACCGCGUGCUGCACCUAGCAGUCUGAGGCUGCAAAUUCACUAAGUGGGCGAAUGGACUUGUUUGUGCAAGCAAUACUUAAUAUUUGUUUUGGGGAGGAGAAAGAAAGAAAAAAAAAACGAGACAUUCCAAUGCGCUUUUUUAUUCUUAAAACUGAUACUGUUUAGCACCUAACAGUUAUUAUACGCAAGGACCCGUUAGUUGUAUUUGUUUAAGUACUGUGUAAUUAUGUAUAACGACAGUAGGACUACAUAUCAUUUCGUAUAAUGUUGUAUACGAUGAUGAACAAUAGGGUUUGAAUUUCUUUGCAGCAACUGGCAGAAGCUGAUAAAACGUUAGCAGGAAAGAAGGACCUGAUCGAUACUCAGUAAUAAACUCAGAAACACUUGAAACUGAAGUCUGACAGUACUUAAGACUCGUUUCAACUUGGGAGUUAAAGCUAUGGAGUCAUCGCUAACCCCAGGAGUAUCUACCCCUGCACACAGCCACAGCCCAGGCUCUUGCUUCUGGAAAGUGUUGGGAGUCUGGGGCUCCGAGCUGUCUGGAUCCUCUCCGCGUGCCAGAGAUUUAAGGCUGGAAGGAUUCAAGCUUGUUGGCAGACUAUGGAACAUCUCUCAGUGAAGAGCCAUGAAGUCCUUCUUGCCCAACCUCCAAGCAGCAGCCAACAAACAUUGGCAACUCCCACAAAGAGGAAGAUAAAUACAAUCUAUUUGCCUUCGACUCUGCACCGAUGUUUCAUUUCCUGCUAUUACAUGAAUACCAAGUUCUGUAGAGAUACGCAUUCUUCCACUAAGAUCUAGGUCCUCAGUCCACUGGCUUAUUUGCCCCUUUUCUAUUCCCAGAAUUCACUUGUUAUUAGGAAGUCCCAAUACAUACUUUACAGUGGUGUUAUGAAAAGAAUGCUUGAAGCAAAAAAAAAGAAAACCAAAGUCUGUUUCAGUAGAUGGCACUGUUGUCUCAAUAUGCACAGCAAUUGCAUGAAAACCUGCAAAAGGUAAUCCAGGAGACUAUAGCAUCUAGCUUUUUAAAAACAAACCCAAAAAACAUUUAAAGCACUUUUUAUGAAUAAAAUACUGUUCCAAGCACAAACUUACCUAGACACUUGUGGGUUAAAUCUAUUUUGUUCAUGCCCAAUAGCUUAAACACAUUGUUGCAUUUUUUUGAAAAUAUUUGAUCACAAAAAAUAAAAACUUCUUUUACUUGUUAGUCUUCUUUUUAGCUUGUGGAAAUGACGCAACACAAACAAAAGGAGUUCAAAUGGACAAGGUAACUAACUACCCCUUAUCUGAGAACAGUAAUUAAACAGGAUACACAAACAGAACCAGCAGGAAUGACCUGGCCUCAUUAAAAGGGUGUUGUACGAAAUCAAAUCAUGGUGUUUUCGUGUAAUUGAAACUGCUCAAAUCCAUUAGUAGGGUCCUUGAAAUGGCUGCUCCGAGGCACAGGUCAUUGUUUAACCUUUAGGGCAGACGCACUUUACUGAAGGCUGCUGGUAUUAUUGAAAUCCUAUCCCCACCAAUACAAGGGAUGACAAAACCUUUACUGUAACUCGCUGAACAUUAUACCGUUAGGUUUGAUUAUUCGAUAAGCUGCAGACGAUGUGGACAGCUUUUUAUUUUUAUUAAAAUGUCUUUACAAAAUAUUGCCAAACUGCAUAAUAACGUCCAAUUUCUUACCUUCAAACUCAUUUCAUAGGUGACCCGAGUCAAAUUUAAUGCCCAGGGUGAAAGUGAAUUAUUUAUAUUUAUUUUAAAACCUUGGUUAUUUGAAAAUUUAAGAAAGGCACAACACAAAACUGUAUAAAGAGAAUGACGUCACAGAAAUAAAAACAAAACAACAUUAAAACACCAAGUAUUCUUGUUUAUUACUUUUAAAACACCUAUAAUAAAACUAUC